GGUUCUGUAUUCAAAUAAUGAUUUUAAAUUGCAAAUUUAAAGGUGAGUGUAAUUCCAGAACUU
This 63-nucleotide transfer RNA is filed under the name Layahima valida. RNAcentral's name for it is "tRNA-Cys". Lineage: Eukaryota; Metazoa; Arthropoda; Insecta; Neuroptera; Myrmeleontidae. The record is from RNAcentral.